CUUACGACCAGGGCUACACACGUGCUACAAUGGCGCAUACAAAGAGAAGCGACCUCGCGAGAGCAAGCGGACCUCAUAAAGUGCGUCGUAGUCCGGAUUGGAGUCUGCAACUCGACUCCAUGAAGUCGGAAUCGCUAGUAAUCGUGGAUCAGAAUGCCACGGUGAAUACGUUCCCGGGCCUUGUACACACCGCCCGUCACACCAUGGGAGUGGGUUGCAAAAGAAGUAGGUAGCUUAACCUUCGGGAGGGCGCUUACCACUUUGUGAUUCAUGACUGGGGUGAAGUCGUAACAAGGUAACCGUAGGGGAACCUGCGGUUGGAUCACCUCCUUACCUUAAAGAAGC
This 345-nucleotide ribosomal RNA is filed under the name Escherichia sp. E4930. RNAcentral describes it as "bacterial SSU rRNA". It matches the Rfam family "Bacterial small subunit ribosomal RNA", at positions 1201 to 1533 of the family's 1533-position model. The record is from RNAcentral. Lineage: Bacteria; Pseudomonadati; Pseudomonadota; Gammaproteobacteria; Enterobacterales; Enterobacteriaceae.